ACAGGAACUAUAAUGCGGAAUAAAAGCAGGGCAUGAAGACCUGAACUGGGGAAUUGCAGCGUUGUUUUGAUUUUCAAGACGGGCAUGAUUAGAAUUACUGGCUUUGUUUAUUAUAUAUUUUAUAAUACUUGUGCAGAUGCCUCGAUGUGCGAUGGAUAAAAGCGCCCGGCUUUGGCUGGUUAAUACAAUGGGUUUUUGAUUUUGCAUAUUUAUUCAUAUGGGAGUUCUUUGCGGAUUCUAUUAAUUCAACAAGUGUUUUGAAUUAAAGCUCUGCGGGCUUCAGUACUGUAAAAUAAUCAAUGGAUUGCAUAAGUUCCAUGCAGAAUAAGAGAAGACGUAGUGGAGAGUUUGAACAGUGGCACAAUCAGGCGAAAAGGCUGUGUAGUGGACUGGGCGGCCGUGGGCAUGUUGAAUGUGGUGUGGUGGUGGACACUCCAAUGGACACGUGGGAUGCCCCAAAUCACAGCCCUCAAAAUGGACACAGCACCAGCGUCCCUGGCAUGCAGGUAUUACCCGCCCCGGGACGUGGUGCAGGACAGCAUUGCCCCAGGUGUAUGGCGGGUGAACCUGGCCAUAUAAACCACAUCAUGAGGUAUUGAUCAGCAUCGCCGAUGACUCCUGGAGAAAAUGAAUCGACUGAAUAAAUGGGGAAGGGAAAAGCGCUGCAGAGAAGCAGUCUGCAGUUUAUCCGGACCGUGUGGGUUUUUCCCACAUGCUUUGUGCCUUUCAUGCAUUUUCCAAAUCACCUCACCUAGUACUGUUUUAUCUACAGUAGUACCUAUUAUUGUUUUGUAGCAAUGAGGUUUACAAUACCAAGAACAUGCACUCCAGUGACAGAAAAUGUAAUGUAAGAUAGUUUAGAUCACACUGCAGUGAAGUGUGUCGACAUCUUUGCACUGUACAUUCUCCAAUGUUGCUUAGUCUUGAUUUUUAAGAAGGAAUUACUGCUGUAGUCAGUGAAACUAAUGCAUAAAUAUUUUUUAGACUAUUUUUCUAAAAAUUUAAAUAAUGAAAGAAGACUCCUGAUUAAAUACGUGUUAAUUCAAGUGUAGAUUUUUUUUUCUUUAUUUUCAUGGUUCAACAUUUCAGUUUAAUUUUAUUUCGUUUUUAAAUGUAAAAAAAAAAAAAAUGUAUGUCAGCUUCAUUUGAAAUGAAGGAUAUUUUUGUAGAUGUAUUGUCUCCAUUUUGUUUUAUCUCAAUGGAUUUGUCUUUUUUUUUUUUUUUUUCCUUUAUUGUAGAAAAUAUUUCAGUGUAUUCAAUGGUUUAAUCUUUUUUUCUCUUUUUUACCCCAAUCUAGAAUAUUUUUCAUUAAAGUCUAAU
This is a long non-coding RNA of Ctenopharyngodon idella (grass carp), 1320 nucleotides long. RefSeq lists it as uncharacterized. NCBI's taxonomy places the organism in Eukaryota, Metazoa, Chordata, Actinopteri, Cypriniformes, Xenocyprididae. The record is from RefSeq and is a predicted model, not a curated record. The transcript has 4 exons.